RNAcentral lists this ribosomal RNA (484 nucleotides) under uncultured bacterium. RNAcentral's name for it is "partial 16S ribosomal RNA". It matches the Rfam family "Bacterial small subunit ribosomal RNA", at positions 30 to 507 of the family's 1533-position model. The record is from RNAcentral.
AUUGAACGCUGGCGGCAGGCCUAACACAUGCAAGUCGAGCGGAUGAAGGGAGCUUGCUCCUGGAUUCAGCGGCGGACGGGUGAGUAAUGCCUAGGAAUCUGCCUGGUAGUGGGGGAUAACGUCCGGAAACGGGCGCUAAUACCGCAUACGUCCUGAGGGAGAAAGAGGGGGAUCUUCGGACCUCACGCUAUCAGAUGAGCCUAGGUCGGAUUAGCUAGUUGGUGGGGUAAAGGCCUACCAAGGCGACGAUCCGUAACUGGUCUGAGAGGAUGAUCAGUCACACUGGAACUGAGACACGGUCCAGACUCCUACGGGAGGCAGCAGUGGGGAAUAUUGGACAAUGGGCGAAAUCCUGAUCCAGCCAUGCCGCGUGUGUGAAGAAGUUCUUCGGAUUGUAAAGCAUUUUAAGUUGGGAGGAAGGGCAGUAAGUUAAUACCUUGCUGUAUUGACGUUACCAACAGAAUAAGCACCGGCUAACUUCGUG